RNAcentral lists this transfer RNA (74 nucleotides) under Methanolacinia petrolearia DSM 11571. Its description in RNAcentral is "tRNA-Val (TAC) (tRNA-Val-TAC-1-1)". It matches the Rfam family "tRNA". Rfam says of the family: Transfer RNA (tRNA) molecules are approximately 80 nucleotides in length. Their secondary structure includes four short double-helical elements and three loops (D, anti-codon, and T loops). Further hydrogen bonds mediate the characteristic L-shaped molecular structure. tRNAs have two regions of fundamental functional importance: the anti-codon, which is responsible for specific mRNA codon recognition, and the 3' end, to which the tRNAs corresponding amino acid is attached (by aminoacyl-tRNA synthetases). tRNAs cope with the degeneracy of the genetic code in two manners: having more than one tRNA (with a specific anti-codon) for a particular amino acid; and 'wobble' base-pairing, i.e. permitting non-standard base-pairing at the 3rd anti-codon position. The record is from Rfam by way of RNAcentral. Lineage: Archaea; Methanobacteriati; Methanobacteriota; Methanomicrobia; Methanomicrobiales; Methanomicrobiaceae.
GGGCUCGUGGUCUAGCUGGUUAUGACGUCGCCUUUACACGGCGAAGAUCCUGCGUUCGAAUCGCAGCGGGCCCA